RNAcentral lists this unclassified non-coding RNA (685 nucleotides) under Hevea brasiliensis (rubber tree). Lineage: Eukaryota; Viridiplantae; Streptophyta; Magnoliopsida; Malpighiales; Euphorbiaceae. The record is from RNAcentral.
AUAUGCAAUAUAACAAUAAAAGGAAAAAACUUUUAAAAAAUAAUUAACAAAAACACUGAUAAGUUAAGUAAUAAUUAGCAAUUUAUCUUCUAAGAUGGUAUGGUAUAUGCAUCUGAUAGCCCCAUGAUAAAUCCAUCAUACAAUAACUUCAAUUUCCUCACAUAUUCAAAGGAUUAUGAACAUCUAAAACUUGAUUACUUAAAAGCAAUAAGCAAAGAACCCAUUUUCAGUCCUCAUAAGUGCGGCACUCAUCUGUCUCCGGGUUGUCCUUGCAGUAAUUCUCCAAAGGGUCAGACUGCUUCUUCUUGUCCCUCGCAUGGCUAGCAGCUGCACUCAGUUCCUCCACUUCGUCCCAAGCCGCCACACAUUCCCCGCUCGCUGGGUCGCCUGCGCAGGCCUCCUCUGCGCUUUUGAUGCUCUCUUCCACCUUCUCCGAUAUGCUAUCUGGGGCUGCUCUCACUGGUUGGAUUUGCAUGCGUCCAGACCCCAAUCGGUAUGCCCUCUUCCAUGGGUGGUUUAACUUGAAGAUGGGUUGAGCCUUUGGUGCGUCUGUGGCCUUGGCUAAGACUCUAGGAGUUGAGAGGUUAAGACUGGUUAGUGUUGCCAUUGUAGUUUGCUAUUUUGCUUCUGUGCUAUCUGCUAUGGUAUGGCCAAGUAAUGGGUGCUCGAGGGAAUAUGACAAUGG